Molecule: long non-coding RNA, 566 nt
Filed under: Ficedula albicollis (Collared flycatcher)
Lineage: Eukaryota; Metazoa; Chordata; Aves; Passeriformes; Muscicapidae
Description: lncRNA (ENSFALG00000027043.1)
Source: RNAcentral
GUAUAAUGAGAUUGAAGUCUCAGAAACUGUCUCCUGCUAGGAAGCUACUAGCUACAAAUCAGACAGGACGAGGGAGACGCAAAAUGGAAUCUCAGUGCGGUGGUUGUGGGCUUUGAUUGGUAGCAGCAGUUACAGCUCCUUAUAGGAGGAAUGAAGCACCUGCGUGUUUUGCAGGGUCUGCCCAGUGUCCUUGGUGCAUUAAUCUGUGCAAUCCACUUAUUCUGUCCACCAAGGCCUUUGUGUGAUCCUCCUGUUUCUCCACACGUGGGAAUUCCCUGUGUCCUUAGGUUACCCUCAAUGGUGUUUGAUAUACAUCUGACAGUGGGAUAUUCCAGUUCAUAAUUCAUUUACACAUCAGAAAGUUUUUUCCAAAAAAGCAUGGGGAGGAAGUAUUUCAGUUUUAUGACUGGGUUCCAAUGCAAGUUUACAGAGCAAGAGAGUAAACUGAACAGAUUGCUUUGGAAGUCAUUAAGGCAAUAACCCUGGAAUGAAGUGAUGCCUCUUAUGACGUUGCCCAGAAUGGAACCAUAAUUAGUAUCAAAAUGAGAAGAUUCAAACAAGCUGUU